GUGCCACAGCCGCGGUAAUACGUAGGUGGCAAGCGUUAUCCGGAUUCACUGGGCGUAAAGCGCGUGCAGGCGGUUUCGUAAGUCGGACGUGAAAGCUCCUGGCUUAACUGGGAGAGGUCGUUCGAUACUGCGGGGCUUGAGGUCGGGAGAGGGACGUGGAAUUCCCGGUGUAGUGGUGGAAUGCGUAGAUAUCGGGAGGAACACCAGUGGCGAAGGCGACGUCCUGGCCCGCACCUGACGCUGAGACGCGAAAGCGUGGGUAGCAAACGGG
This 271-nucleotide ribosomal RNA is filed under the name uncultured bacterium. RNAcentral's name for it is "partial 16S ribosomal RNA". It matches the Rfam family "Bacterial small subunit ribosomal RNA", at positions 505 to 776 of the family's 1533-position model. The record is from RNAcentral.